UGUGAGUGUGAGAGCGAGAACAGCCCCGCAGGUCCCGAGGCGCUGGCUGGGGACAAUGCCGCGGAAAGUUCCCAGUCCCCAGCCGCAGAUCUGCAGAAUUGAAAUGAAAUGUUUUGAGCUCUUCAAGCUGACUCGUCAGAAUCCUGGAGCCUUUUAAAAAAUGACGAAUUGGAAGGAAAAAUUACUUUAUCAAUAACCAGGCUCCACCAGGAUUGACCUAGAUGGUUGUUCCUGGCACUUGUCAUUCUCAGCAAGCACAGCUCAGAGAACAAAUACAAAAGACCCAAAGUGCAUUGCAUCUUUUAUGGAAGUGCCCAAUGUGGAAAUCAUAGAUUUCAAGGAAGGAACAAGAAAAUUGAUGAAACAAGUUCAAAAGAAAGAAGCUUGGCCAAUUUGAUGUCAAUGGAAAUGCGUGAGAUUUUUAUUCAGCAUUCACACCUGAGCAAUGCUUUUGGUCAUGAUGUCAUACUAAGAAGAAACCACCUGAGAUGAGACUGUUAGAUGUUCAGAGCAAACAAAAACAAAAACAGACCAACAAAAAAAACCCAAAACAAAACAGAAGUUUCUGAAGGACAGCAGAAAUGGCUUUGCAGGACCACAACAACCACUCCCAGUCAUGAUGGAGAGAAGUGUUCAAUACCCACAGAUCCUGAACGUUGAGCUGAUUAUACUAACUAGAUGGGACUUAGUUUUGUCUACCGUGGGGUGAGCGUAUACUACCUGAGGGAACAGGUUCUCUAUGGUGAAGAUGGCAACUUGCUGACUCAGUCUCAGAAUGCGUUAAAUCCACAUAUUCUGAAGUCCUCAGCAGAGUGAAACUUCAUAUAUAAUAUUUUCUACAGACAAAGUUACCAUCAAUAUCAACAGCAACAACACGGCAACAGCCAACAUUUACAGAACUUUUAUUAAGUUCCAGUCACCGUAUGUGCCUGCUUCCCCUUUGCCUUCCACCAUCAUUAUAAGUUUCCUGAGGCCACCACUGCCAUGCUUCCUGUACAGACUGUGGGACUCCAUGUAAGAUGUUCCUGCUUCCCCUUUGCCUUCUACCAUGAUUGUAACUUUCCUGAGGCCUUCCCAGCCAUGCUUCUUGUACAACCUGCAGAACUGUGAGUCAAUUAAACCUGUUUUCUUUAUAAAUU
RNAcentral lists this long non-coding RNA (1139 nucleotides) under Homo sapiens (human). Its description in RNAcentral is "PREDICTED lncRNA (TCONS_00208353)". Lineage: Eukaryota; Metazoa; Chordata; Mammalia; Primates; Hominidae. The record is from RNAcentral.